GACGAACGCUGGCGGCGAUGCUUAACACAUGCAAGUCGAACGGAAAGGCCCUGCUUUUGUGGGGUGCUCGAGUGGCGAACGGGUGAGUAACACGUGAGUAACCUGCCCUUGACUUUGGGAUAACUUCAGGAAACUGGGGCUAAUACCGGAUAGGAGCUCCUGCUGCAUGGUGGGGGUUGGAAAGUUUCGGCGGUUGGGGAUGGACUCGCGGCUUAUCAGCUUGUUGGUGGGGUAGUGGCUUACCAAGGCUUUGACGGGUAGCCGGCCUGAGAGGGUGACCGGCCACAUUGGGACUGAGAUACGGCCCAGACUCCUACGGGAGGCAGCAGUGGGGAAUAUUGCACAAUGGGCGGAAGCCUGAUGCAACAACGCCGCGUGCGGGAUGACGGCCUUCGGGUUGUAAACCGCUUUCGCCUGUGACGAAGCGUGAGUGACGGUAAUGGGUAAAGAAGCACCGGCUAACUACGUGCCAGCAGCCGCGGUGAUACGUAGGGUGCGAGCGUUGUCCGGAUUUAUUGGGCGUAAAGGGCUCGUAGGUGGUUGAUCGCGUCGGAAGUGUAAUCUUGGGGCUUAACCCUGAGCGUGCUUUCGAUACGGGUUGACUUGAGGAAGGUAGGGGAGAAUGGAAUUCCUGGUGGAGCGGUGGAAUGCGCAGAUAUCAGGAGGAACACCAGUGGCGAAGGCGGUUCUCUGGGCCUUUCCUGACGCUGAGGAGCGAAAGCGUGGGGAGCGAACAGGCUUAGAUACCCUGGUAGUCCACGCUGUAAACGGUGGGUACUAGGUGUGGGGUCCAUUCCACGGGUUCCGUGCCGUAGCUAACGCUUUAAGUACCCCGCCUGGGGAGUACGGCCGCAAGGCUAAAACUCAAAGGAAUGGACGGGGCCCCGCACAAGCGGCGGAGCAUGCGGAUUAAUUCGAUGCAACGCGUAGAACCUUACCUGGGUUUGACAUGGAUCGGGAGUGCUCAGAGAUGGGUGUGCCUCUUUUGGGGUCGGUUCACAGGUGGUGCAUGCCUGUCGUCAGCUCGUGUCGUGAGAUGUUGGGUUAAGUCCCGCAACGAGCGCAACCCUUGUUCACUGUUGCCAGCACGUUAUGGUGGGGACUCAGUGGAGACCACCGGGGUCAACUCGGAGGAAGGUGGGGAUGACGUCAAGUCCUCAUGCCCCUUAUGUCCAGGGCUUCACGCAUGCUACAAUGGCUGGUACAGAGAGUGGCGAGCCUGUGAGGGUGAGCGAAUCUCGGAAAGCCGGUCUCAGUUCGGAUUGGGGUCUGCAACUCGACCUCAUGAAGUCGGAGUCGCUAGUAAUCGCCAGAUCAGCAACGCUGCGGUGAAUACGUUCCCGGGGCU
Molecule: ribosomal RNA, 1348 nt
Filed under: uncultured bacterium
Lineage: Bacteria
Description: bacterial SSU rRNA
Rfam family: Bacterial small subunit ribosomal RNA
Source: RNAcentral